GUGCCAGCCGCCGCGGUAAUACGAAGGGGGGCUAGCGUUGUUCGGAUUUACUGGGCGUAAAGCGCACGUAGGCGGACUAUUAAGUCAGGGGUGGAAUCCCGGGGCUCAACCCCGGAACUGCCUUUGAUACUGGUAGUCUUGAGUUCGAGAGAGGUGGGUGGAAUUCCGAGUGUAGAGGUGAAAUUCGUGGAUAUUCGGAGGAACACCAGUGGCGAAGGCGGCUCACUGGCUCGAUACUGACGCUGAGGUGCGAAAGCGUGGGGAGCAAACAGGAUUAGAAACCCCCGUAGUCC
This 293-nucleotide ribosomal RNA is filed under the name uncultured prokaryote. Its description in RNAcentral is "partial 16S ribosomal RNA". It matches the Rfam family "Bacterial small subunit ribosomal RNA", at positions 505 to 796 of the family's 1533-position model. The record is from RNAcentral.